Molecule: ribosomal RNA, 494 nt
Filed under: uncultured bacterium
Lineage: Bacteria
Description: partial 16S ribosomal RNA
Rfam family: Bacterial small subunit ribosomal RNA
Source: RNAcentral
GACGAACGCUGGCGGCGUGCUUAACACAUGCAAGUCGAACGGUGAAGCGCCUUCCUUUUUGGUGGGUGUGGAUGAGUGGCGAACGGGUGAGUAACACGUGAGUAACCUGCCCCCUUCUUCUGGAUAACCGCAUGAAAGUGUGGCUAAUACGGGAUAUUCUGGGUCUGUCGCAUGAUGGGUCUGGGAAAGAUAUUGUUUCGGUGGGGGAUGGGCUCGCGGCCUAUCAGCUUGUUGGUGGGGUGAUGGCCUACCAAGGCGGUGACGGGUAGCCGGCCUGGGAGGGUGAACGGCCACACUAGGACUGAGCCGCGGCCCAGACUACUACGGGAGGCAGCAGUGGGGAAUAUUGCACAAUGGGCGCAAGCCUGAUGCAGCGACGCCGCGUGAGGGAUGGAGGCCUUCGGGUUGUGAACCUCUUUCGCCAGUGAAGCAGGCCUGCCUCGUUUGUGGGUGGGUUGACGGUAGCUGGAUAAGAAGCGCCGGCUAACUACGUG